Molecule: long non-coding RNA, 1501 nt
Filed under: Olea europaea (common olive)
Lineage: Eukaryota; Viridiplantae; Streptophyta; Magnoliopsida; Lamiales; Oleaceae
Description: long non-coding RNA (OEUR_LNC003703)
Source: RNAcentral
GGGCUAAGUAAAGUUGUGAUCCUUGACACCCGGUCACGCUGAAGCGGGGAUUACAAGAAGGUUGUCCGCCAUUCCUAUAUCUUUUUCUCCUGCAAUAGUGUCAAGGGGCUAAGUAAAGUUGUGAUCCUUGACACUCGGUCACGCUGAAGCGGGGAUUACAAGAAGGUUGUCCGCCAUUCCUAUAUCUUUUUCUCCUGCAAUAGUGUCAAGGGGCUAAGUAAAGUUGUGAUCCUUGACACUCGGUCACGCUGAAGCGGGGAUUACAAGAAGGUUGUCCGCCAUUCCUAUAUCUUUUUCUCCUACGUACAUAAGGGUUCUGGUGUCUCUUUUGAAGGAUUGAAACUGACUCGUACAUUUAGAGAGUUCAAUUUUUCCUACUGAGGUUGUUUAUGAUCUAAAAAUUAAUCUUUCCUCAUCUAAUGAGAUAAAGAAGGCCAUCUGGGAUGUGUGUCCCAAAAAAAUAAAAUACUGAGGUUCAUCAUCUGGUCAUAUUGAGAGUAUGAUGUCUUGCAGAUUACAAUUGAAGAACGCGAGUACUUCUUAUUUCUAUAAUUCAGUACUCCUUGUACUUCACAAAUAUACGCCCUUCUAUCAUUAAGUUUCUUUUAUUUUUUAUAUCAAAGAAACAAGAAGGAGACUAAGCUAUCAUUUUGGAUUUUAAUGUCAAGGUUAUUUUAAGGAUAUUCAGACAAAAGCCACUCUUCUCAAGUGUGACUCAACUGGCUCUUAAUAUCGAAAUAUUUUUGAUAGAUUUUAUAAUGGUUUCAAUGGGGUAAGAAAUAUCUCAUCUUUCUUAAUUUAGUUAUCUAAUUCAGAUUGCAUGGAAAUUAGAAAGGACUCCCAAACAAAUACAAUUCCCUUUAUUGAGAUUUGUGAAUUUCUGGCCAAGGUUUUUCCAUUAUCAAUGCUAUUAAAUUGGAUCCUUGAGAUGUGAAGUGUAUUCACUUACUUCCAUUGAUUUCUGGGAGCUGUUGGUAUUGGGCGGCAGUGACAUUCUUCAAAUCCUUCCACAGUAUUUGUAUCAGGAACGAACUACAUUGCCUCUUCUCCCUCUCCUGCUGCAUUUGGUGUUACUUCAGUGUUUAGAGAUGGCAAGCUCCCAAGUACAUGUACCUAGAAGAUGCUGCCUGGAUAUAACCUUUUCUUGGAUUUCCUGUAAUUUAGCUGUGUUUUUCUGAGCAGUUACAUGAAGUGCUCGACUGGAACAACCUUUCGGAUUGCAGGCAAUCCAUUUCCAUCACUGUAUAUGUAAGAUGUUUGAAUGAUUUGAGGGUUCUAUUGUGCGUAUUGAAUAUAUCAUAUUAUAGCAUAUUUGAUAGAUAGUACCGGAUAGAAUUGGAUAGUUUAAUUGACAAGAUUGUAGCUUUAUUUUCUUGGUCAAUAUUGUCUGGGUUUACCUUACCAAACAUGCCAUUAGCGUUUAAAGGGGGGAAAAAUUUAAUAAUGUAGAUAGGUCUGACAUGGCAUGUUGUUCAAAUAUGGAUGACAUAUUGUAAAAGGG